AACGAACGCUGGCGGCAUGCCUAACACAUGCAAGUCGAACGAGACCUUCAGGUCUAGUGGCGCACGGGUGCGUAACGCGUGGGAACCUGCCCUUAGGUUCGGAAUAACUCUCCGAAAGGGGUGCUAAUACCGGAUAAUGUCUUCGGACCAAAGAUUUAUCGCCUUUGGAUGGGCCCGCGUUGGAUUAGCUAGUUGGUAGGGUAAAAGCCUACCAAGGCGACGAUCCAUAGCUGGUCUGAGAGGAUGAUCAGCCACACUGGGACUGAGACACGGCCCAGACUCCUACGGGAGGCAGCAGUGGGGAAUAUUGGACAAUGGGCGAAAGCCUGAUCCAGCAAUGCCGCGUGAGUGAUGAAGGCCUUAGGGUUGUAAAGCUCUUUUACCCGGGAUGAUAAUGACAGUACCGGGAGAAUAAGCUCCGGCUAACUCCGU
This 432-nucleotide ribosomal RNA is filed under the name uncultured bacterium. RNAcentral's name for it is "partial 16S ribosomal RNA". It matches the Rfam family "Bacterial small subunit ribosomal RNA", at positions 29 to 506 of the family's 1533-position model. The record is from RNAcentral.